GAUGAACGCUGGCGGCGUGCCUAAUACAUGCAAGUCGAGCGAACAGAUAAGGAGCUUGCUCCUUUGACGUUAGCGGCGGACGGGUGAGUAACACGUGGGUAACCUACCUAUAAGACUGGAAUAACUCCGGGAAACCGGGGCUAAUGCCGGAUAACAUUUAGAACCGCAUGGUUCUAAAGUGAAAGAUGGUUUUGCUAUCACUUAUAGAUGGACCCGCGCCGUAUUAGCUAGUUGGUAAGGUAACGGCUUACCAAGGCAACGAUACGUAGCCGACCUGAGAGGGUGAUCGGCCACACUGGAACUGAGACACGGUCCAGACUCCUACGGGAGGCAGCAGUAGGGAAUCUUCCGCAAUGGGCGAAAGCCUGACGGAGCAACGCCGCGUGAGUGAUGAAGGUCUUCGGAUCGUAAAACUCUGUUAUUAGGGAAGAACAAAUGUGUAAGUAACUGUGCACGUCUUGACGGUACCUAAACAGAAAGCCACGGCUAACUACGUG
Molecule: ribosomal RNA, 497 nt
Filed under: uncultured bacterium
Lineage: Bacteria
Description: partial 16S ribosomal RNA
Rfam family: Bacterial small subunit ribosomal RNA
Source: RNAcentral